GUCACUGUAAAAAUUAACUGCCCUAUUUCUGCUGUUUUCCUUUGAAAUAAUAAGUCUUACAUAAAACCUUCUCAAUAGCUAUAUGCAAAACCCCUAUUGUAUUGGUGAACUAAUUUUACAUAAAAUCUUCCAAAUGAAGCCUGGAGGUGAGAAAGCUUCAGGAAGAUCUCAUUGCAGCUACAAGAAGGAUGAAGAGACACUUUUUUCAUGGGCAUGUAGUAACACAGCAAGGGGGUAAAGCUUCAAAUUGAAAGGUCUUUUCAUGUGAUUUGUAGCUAUGUGAGGAUGCUGAGGAAGUUGAUAGGGGAUUUAACCAGGACAGCUGACCAAAACUGACUGAAGGAAUAUUCUAGACCACAUGGCAUCAUGUUCAGCAUAUAGAGCUGGGGGAAAAAGAAGGAGAAGGGGGAUGUUUGAAGUGAUGAUGUUUGUCUUCCUAAGUCAACAUUACACAUGAUGGAAAGCCAUGGUUUCCUAGAGAUGAUCAAAGACCUGCCUGCCCAUGGGAAGUGGUGAAUGAAUUCUUUGCUUUGCUUUGCUUAUUAAACUGUAUUUUGCUCCACCCACAAGCUUUCUCAUUUUUAUUCUUAUUAUUCUCUGUCCCAUCCCAUCAGGGAAGUUGUUGGUAACUCCCUGUGUGUGGAGACACGAGGCUUGACUCCAUUUUCUCAGAAGGCUGAUUUAUUAUCUUAUAUAUUGUAUUAAAAUACUACAUUAAAACUAUACUAAAAGAAAGAGAGAAAGAAUGAUCAGAAGGCUGGAAAGAACAGGAAUAGAAUAGAAUGCAUAACAAAAUCCUGUGACUGCUCACAGCCUUGGCACAGGUGGCUGUGAUUGGUCAUCAAGUCAGAACAAUCCACAUGGACCAAUGGAAGAUGCACCUGUUGCAUUUCCCAACAGCAGAUAGUUAUUGUUUACAUUUCUUUCCUGAGGCCCUCAGCUCUCAGGAGGGAAAAAUCCUAGCAGUGGAUUUUUCAUAAAAUAUCACGGUGACAGGAAGGGUCAGUCAGUUGCUCUCUAGUUCUUAGUUGAUGUUUGGGGUUACACCAUGACAGCAAUGUAAGGAAAUGAUUUAGUUAGUUUUAAAUGUGUAAAUCGUAUCUUGUAAUGAUAUUUAUUGGUAUGAAUUCUUUGAAUCAUGAAAGAAAUUGGAUGAGUAAGUGACAAUACAAUCAUGAAGAGGAAGAUAACACUCUGGUGGCAUAACAAAUUUAUCCAAAGAUAUGCUGAUACAUCUGUUCGUUUGUAUGUCAGUUUUUGGGGGCUUUGAGGAAUAUUUGCAGUUGAAAUGUUGGCACUGGGUAUCAAACAUAACAAAAAAAAACCCCAAUAUCUCUGUACAGUGUCUAAUAAGUCCUGAAAUCUGUUUCUCCACGCAAUUGCUUCAUAAAUUAUACUUAGGCAUAUUUAAAUGAUUUCACACACCUCUUGCUAGGGUAGUCAUGAAUCACUUGGAGUGUCAAAAUUCUGCAGUGAAGUGUUUGCAGAAGUAAGAUAAUCAUUCCUGAUUAAGCUUUCAAACUUGAUGUUCAUAUUCUUUUUGGUACAAAUGUUUUUAUCUCCAAACAGAAGAGUUCAUUUUUAAAACAUACUCUUGACUUUUUCCCCUUAAGUCAUGAAAUCACUUUUAUUUAUAUCUUUUCUUUUACACUAACCAUUCUACAGUGUUUAGAUAUUAAUAAAGACACAAUGCAACUAACUGUGAACUAUGAAGUGUCCUUAGCCUGCAAGUCUGUACUGUAAUAUUUUGAACCCUGAUGAGGGAAAGAUAUUUUUGUUUCUGUAAUUAAAUGUAUAUUCAUUAUGAAAACUCCUGGCAUGAGGACAAUACAGAUAAUCUGGAACUCAUUUUUAAACAGAUUCUUAGAAAUAAGCAAAAGAAAACCAGAAAACUAAAGCAUGUCCCUGCAAUAUAAUAUUCAAGCUAGCAAGUGUGAUAAAGUAAAACCAAUAGUCGUUUUAAUACUGUGUGGGGAAGUAAUACCUUUGAUUCUUAUGCAAACAUCUCAUUCUCAUAUGAAUAUCCAUAAUCUUAGAAAGACCUAUCAAAGAAAAAUACCCAAGGGUAUGUAUGUGAAGCUUUUUAAGAAUCUAAAUAUGCUAAUUGAAUGCUUCUGCAGUUCUAUUAAGCUAAACAAUUCUGCGUUAAUUACACAUAAUUCUGUGUAGGCUAAUUUUUUAUAUCAAAUAAAAUUACCAUGUUUACAUUAAAAUAGGAAAUAUCUAUGCUGUAGCUAAAAUUCCAUAAUUGUGUUUUGAGAUAUAUGAGUGCAAGCAAAUUUUAUAUUUAAAACAAAUCUAUACAAAAAGUUCCAAAUAAAAAGUUCUACUGUUGAUAUUGGUGGAAGCAAAUGUAGGGCCUAAGAUAAGUGAUCAAUUAUGACAAACUCAAAUUUUUCCAUUUCAUACCUUGGAUUUUUAAAUGCUAUUCCAAAGCAGAGAUAAUUUCCUAUUGAAAUAAAACCUGCAUGAACUUGAUUCUUCUGCAAUCUUUAUUUCUCUCAGCAACUUAUGUUAGUUCUUGUUUUCUAAGAUAAUUUCUCCAGUGAUUUUAACCACAUACGAGUAUUCAUUCAAAUAUGUGGUUUUUUUCCUGAACUUGUAGAUUUUGUCAUCAGUGUGUUUUUCAUUAUAUGGAUAGAGAAGCAUUAAAAUAGGUAAUGUCAUAACUGAAUGAAGGGAGGUUGAUUUCUGGGAAGUAAAAGGGGACAACAAAAAAGGAGUUCUUAUGUCAAGAUGAUGUGUAGAUUUGUCUCAGGUUAGGUUGAAUUAUUCUUUUCAACAUAUAAUAGCUCUCAACAAAAGCUUAAUUAUUUUAAGUUUAGGGGAAGGUAACUUAUAACAAGAACAUCAUAUUUUACAAAUUAUGUUCAUUGAGGAUUCGUCUUUGAAGUGUAUCAUCUCUGUGCUCUUUCAGUUGGAAAUCAGGUUUAUGCCAUGAAUGCAAAAAUAAAUAAAAUUAAAUAAUACUAAUAUUAAUAAAAUUAAAUAAAUAAAAUUAAUUAAAUAAAAUUAAAUAAAUAUUACUGUACAAAAACUUUAUGGGUAAGGGGUUAAAUUAAAGCCUCCAAAAUCUAUGCUUCCUUACCUAUGUCCCCCAAAUACUGACAAUGCUUUGUUUAUUUCAGUUAUAGAUUUCCUACUUCAUACUGCUCCAUUAUGUGGGGUUUUUCUCCUAUCAAUUUGUAGUUAAUUUGUAGUUACUGAUUCAAAUCUGGACAUAAGCCUUUUUUUUUCCCCAGAAGUUGCUAGAAACUGUUUGUUUCCAAUUUUGUGAUUUUCUGUUAAGACUUUCUUCUAACUUAGGUAAAAUUUCAAUAAUAAUUAUUGUCAUCUUAUGUAUGCUAUGUGGGGUAGCAAAGAUAGAAAACCAUCUGUUAAUGUGAGCAAAGAUAGAAUGAUCUAGUAGGAAGUAUGUAUGUACACAAAUUCAUCAUACCAGUACCUAAUUCUGUAAAACAUAAAGUUUCAAUCAGAAUACACCUGGAAUGUCAUAUCUGUUGCAAAAUUGGUUUUUUUUUUUUUUUUUUUUUUUGUUUUAAUACUGAAUUGAAAAGCUACUGAAUUGCUAUAUAGCAGCAGACUAUGCAAUGAUUUGAAUUGCAAUUAAAUGGAAGAAAUUUUGGACAUAGUGUACAGAAAUUUUGGGGAAAUGUUUUGUUUAUUCCAAAAAUAAAUAAUAAAAGCCUUAAUGCGGUGUAUUGAAAAAUAAUUUUAUUUAGGAAAAUGUUCUGGCUUAUAGGUUUUUAACAGACAUAAGCGAACACCUACAGCCUUGUUUCUGUAAGUGGUGUAAGAGAAGCUUAGCAUAGACAUCUGAUGCUUAUGGGAAAUAGUGUUGAUAUGUUGUCAAAAUGUUAAGAACCACUCAACCAAGCUACAGAAAUAGUAGUACAUAACUAUCCAUCUCUGGAGUAUUAUCUGAGGUAAAAGCAUCUAUAGAAAUCGUAUGUGUCAUUUUCUGUAUAAAUGGAUGGAUUUGAUCUUUCACCCACUGUAAUUCAGGUAUUAUUUUUCAAUUACAUUCUCUGAGAGUUGUAAAGGAGACAAAGUAAUUGAGAUUAGUGGAUAAUUAGAUAAUUCAGUAGCACAUAAACAAGACCAAAAAGUAAUCUCUGGGGAAUUAGUGGUUUUGUGGUUCAACUUAAUGUGUAUGUGAGCCUUGGGUAUGAUGACCUGAUCCCUUUGUUGCCCGUCUCCAUAUGGGGAACCAUUAAUUUGAGGCCCCCAGAUAACAUGAUAAUUAGCUGUGGGGCUAUACACAUAUAUUCCUAAUAAAUUAUCUCCUCUAUAUUGGCCCUCAUCAAAAGAAUAAUUGUCUUUUAAAAAAAUCCACUUUUUGCAAAAUUCAGUACCAUUAUCAGAUCACACAAAAUCUGAGUAUUUGGAGUUGAAAGGAACCUCUGGAGACAGGUUCCAGUCCAAACCCCAUAGUAAAGCCAGUCCACCUCGAGCAAAUUGUACAUGAUUGUGUCCAGGUGGGCUUUGAUAUCUCCAGAGAAGGAGAUUCCACAACCUUUUUGGUCAGUCUGUUCUGGUGCUGUGUCAUCCUAAAAGUAAAGAUGACUAUCCUCGUAUUCAGAACUUUUAGUGUUUCUGUUUCUUCCUCUUCCUCUUCCUCUUAUUGUGUUGUCAGUCACCACUAAGGAGAGUCUGACCCCAUCCUCAUAGCACUCUUAAGAUAUUUUUAUGCUCAUGUUUAUGUGCUCUUGUUUAGUUAAGUUAUGCUCUCAGUUACAAAAAAUCCUGUCCAUUGGUAUUGUAGGAAAAUUAACUGUCCAUUGCUUUAAUCUCUGGCUAGAUUAUUUUUGUGCCAAAGAGAAAGCAGAUUAUGUCAAGAGAAUCUCAGAUUUAAUUUAAGGGCCUUAAAAGAAAUUUUCAUCCUAGUCAGAAUAUGACAGGUCCAAGACAGAAGAAUAGACACACUGCUGCCAAGGCAGACAAAAAUGUAUUGGUAUUUAUAAUGUAUUCUCAUUAAAUCAGGAGGCAUCAGGGCUUAAUAGACUUGGAGUGUAAUUGAGUCCAACCAGCUGUCUGGAAAACCUCUGUGUUGUGCAUCUGUUCAAAUACGAUUUUUCCACCU
This is a long non-coding RNA of Passer domesticus (house sparrow), 5083 nucleotides long. RefSeq lists it as uncharacterized. The transcript has 4 exons. The record is from RefSeq and is a predicted model, not a curated record. Lineage: Eukaryota; Metazoa; Chordata; Aves; Passeriformes; Passeridae.